GAACGGCUCAUUAUAUCAGUAAUAAUUUCUUCGGUAGUUUCUUUUAUAUGGAUACCUGCAGUAAUUCUGGAAAUAAUACAUGCUGUAAGAGCCCUGUAUGGGGCUGCACUUAUUAGAUUGAAGCCGAUUUUAUUGGUGAAUCAUGAUAAUUGAGCAGAUUGACUAUUUUGGUCGAUGAAUCGUUUGAGUUUCUGCCCCAUCAGUUGUCGACGGUAGGGUAUUGGACUACGGGGACUAUAACGGGGGACGGAAAGUUAGGGCUCGACUCCGGAAAGGGAGCCUGAAAAACGGUUACCAUAUCCAAGGAAAGCAGCAGGGGCGUAAAUUACCCCCUGGGGACCCCACAAGGUAUUGACAAAAAAUAUCAAUGCCAAGCGGGUAUGGGUUUUGCUAUCGGAAUGAGAGCAAUGUAAAACCCUUAUCGAGGAUCAACUGGAGGGCAAGUUUGUGUCCAGCGCACGCGGUAAUUCCAGCUCAGGGAGCAUGUUCAAAAUUUGGCAGAUUUAAAAAGCUCGUUGGUGAAUUUCUGGCAUGCGCCCCGGUGUUUCCCCUGAAGGGGGAUUGAUUUGUGUGCUGCCUUGGCCCAUCAACCCCUGCUAUUUUGGGAGAGAAAUCUUCCACUGAACUCAAAGCAGAGUGUUUCAACCGGUUGGUAUGCCGGGUAUUAUUAUUAUGGGAUGAUAAGAUGGGAUUGGGGUGUUUUUUUUUGGUUUCCCACCCUUGAGAAAGGUUAAAUGGAAACAUUGGGGGGUUUUGGUUUUUGGGAGCGAGGGGGAAAUUUUUGGAUUUUCGAAAAGACAAAUGAGAGGAAGGCCUUUUCCCACCCAUUUUUCCUUAAUCAAAAAAAAAAGUCUGGGGGAUGAAAGAUGAUUAGAUACCAUCGUAGUCUAGACCGUAAAGGAUCCGGACUUGGGUUUUUGGGGUGUUUUUUUAUGGGCCUCAGCAGCAGCCCAUGAGAAAUCAAAGUCUUUGGGUUCCGGGGGGAGUAUGGUCGCAAGGCUGAAACUUAAAGGAAUUGCCGGAAGGGCACCACCAGGAGUGGAGCCUGCGGCUUAAUUUGACUCAACACGGGAAAACUUACCAGGUCCAGACAUAGGUAGGAUUGACAGAUUGAGAGCUCUUUCAUGAUUCUAUGGGUGGUGGUGCAUGGCCGUUCUUAGUUGGUGGAGGGAUUUGUCUGGUUAAUUCCGUUAACGAACGAGACCUGGGCCUACUAAAUAGUGGGGGGUAGGGCAACAAAGUGGGUUUUAACUUCUUAGAGGGACAUUUCCGGUUUACGGGCAGGAAGUUGGAGGCAAUAACAGGUCUGUGAUGCCCUUAGAUGUUCUGGGCCGCACGCCCGCUCACUGAUGGGUUCAUCGGGUUUUAAUUUUAAUUUUUGGAAUUGAGUGCUUGGUCGGAAGGCCUGGCUAAUCCUUGGAACGCUCAUCGUGCUGGGGCUAGAUUUUUGCAAUUAUUAAUCUCCAACGAGGAAUUCCUAGUAAACGCAAGUCAUCAGCUUGCAUUGAAUACGUCCCUGCCCUUUGUACACACCGCCCGUCGCACCUACCGAUUGAACGGUCCGAUGAAACCAUGGGAUGUUUGUGUUUGGAUUCAUUUUUGGACAUAGGCAGAACUCGGGUGAAUCUUAUUGUUAGAGGAAGGGAAGUCG
This 1651-nucleotide ribosomal RNA is filed under the name Aurantiochytrium sp. BR-MP4-A1. RNAcentral describes it as "partial 18S ribosomal RNA". It matches the Rfam family "Eukaryotic small subunit ribosomal RNA". The record is from RNAcentral. Lineage: Eukaryota; Bigyra; Thraustochytrida; Thraustochytriidae.